Molecule: ribosomal RNA, 468 nt
Filed under: uncultured bacterium
Lineage: Bacteria
Description: partial 16S ribosomal RNA
Rfam family: Bacterial small subunit ribosomal RNA
Source: RNAcentral
GACGAACGCUGGCGGCGUGCUUAACACAUGCGAGUCGAACGGAAAGGCCCUGCUUUUGUGGGGUGCUCGAGUGGCGAACGGGUGAGUAACACGUGAGUAACCUGCCCUUGACUUUGGGAUAACUUCAGGAAACUGGGGCUAAUACCGGAUAGGAGCUCCUGCUGCAUGGUGGGGGUUGGAAAGUUUCGGCGGUUGGGGAUGGACUCGCGGCUUAUCAGCUUGUUGGUGGGGUAGUGGCUUACCAAGGCUUUGACGGGUAGCCGGCCUGAGAGGGUGACCGGCCACAUUGGGACUGAGGUACGGCCCCGACUCCUACGCGAGGCAGCAGUGGGGAAUCUUGCACACUGGGCGGAAGCCUGAUGCAGCAACGCCGCGUGCGGGAUGACGGCCUUCGGGUUGUAAACCGCUUUCGCCUGUGACGAAGCGUGAGUGACGGUAAUGGGUAAAGAAGCACCGGCUAACUACGUG